RNAcentral lists this ribosomal RNA (460 nucleotides) under uncultured bacterium. Its description in RNAcentral is "partial 16S ribosomal RNA". It matches the Rfam family "Bacterial small subunit ribosomal RNA", at positions 338 to 795 of the family's 1533-position model. The record is from RNAcentral.
CCUACGGGUGGCAGCAGUGAGGAAUAUUGGUCAAUGGACGAGAGUCUGAACCAGCCACGUAGCGUGAAGGAUGACUGCCCUAUGGGUUGUAAACUUCUUUUAUAUGGGAAUAAAAUGUUCCACGUGUGGGAUUUUGUAUGUACCAUAUGAAUAAGGAUCGGCUAACUCCGUGCCAGCAGCCGCGGUAAUACGGAGGAUCCGAGCGUUAUCAGGAUUUAUUGGGGUUAAAGGGAGCGUAGGUGGAUUGUUAAGUCAGUUGUGAAAGUUUGCGGCUCAACCGUAAAAUUGCAGUUGAAACUGGCAGUCUUGAGUACAGUAGAGGUGAGCGGAAUUCGUGGUGUAGCGGUGAAAUGCUUAGAUAUCACGAAGAACUCCGAUUGCGAAGGCAGUUCACUGGACUGCAACUGACACUGAGGCUCGAAAGUGUGGGUAUCAAACAGGAUUAGAUACCCGUGUAGUC